RNAcentral lists this unclassified non-coding RNA (259 nucleotides) under Hevea brasiliensis (rubber tree). Lineage: Eukaryota; Viridiplantae; Streptophyta; Magnoliopsida; Malpighiales; Euphorbiaceae. The record is from RNAcentral.
CGCGCGGCAGCGGCGGUGGCGGUGACAUGACGGAUCUGAUCGUUGCGUCACGCCAGCGCGUGCGCCUGGCGCUGGAGGCCUGCGGUCCCGAAUUUUCCGGGCUUCUGCUCGAUGUCUGCUGUUUUUUGCGGGGUCUGGAAGACGUCGAGCGCGAGCGCGGCUGGCCGUCACGUUCGGCCAAAGUCGUGCUGCAACUGGCGCUUGAUCGGCUGGCACGUCAUUACGGCUUGCGCAGCGAUGCGCGCGGUGGCGGCGGGGC